This 510-nucleotide ribosomal RNA is filed under the name uncultured bacterium. RNAcentral's name for it is "partial 16S ribosomal RNA". It matches the Rfam family "Bacterial small subunit ribosomal RNA", at positions 28 to 507 of the family's 1533-position model. The record is from RNAcentral.
GACGAACGCUGGCGGCGUGCUUAACACAUGCAAGUCGAACGAAGAGCGAUGGAAGCUUGCUUCUAUCAAUCUUAGUGGCGAACGGGUGAGUAACGCGUAAUCAACCUGCCCUUCAGAGGGGGACAACAGUUGGAAACGACUGCUCAUACCGCAUACGAUCUAAUCUCGGCAUCGAGGAUAGAUGAAAGGUGGCCUCUACAUGUAAGCUAUCACUGAAGGAGGGGAUUGCGUCUGAUUAGCUAGUUGGAGGGGUAACGGCCCACCAAGGCGAUGAUCAGUAGCCGGUCUGAGAGGAUGAACGGCCACAUUGGGACUGAGACACGGCCCAGACUCCUACGGGAGGCAGCAGUGGGGAAUCUUCCGCAAUGGACGAAAGUCUGACGAAGCAACGCCGCGUGAGUGAUGACGGCCUUCGGGUUGUAAAGCUCUGUUAAUCGGGACGAAAGGCCUUCUUGCGAAUAGUGAGAAGGAUUGACGGUACCGGAAGAGAAAGCCACGGCUAACUACGUG